RNAcentral lists this ribosomal RNA (519 nucleotides) under uncultured eukaryote. Its description in RNAcentral is "SSU rRNA". It matches the Rfam family "Eukaryotic small subunit ribosomal RNA", at positions 1161 to 1699 of the family's 1831-position model. The record is from RNAcentral.
AGGGCACCACCAGGAGUGGAGCCUGCGGCUUAAUUUGACUCAACACGGGGAAACUCACCCGGCCCGGACACUGGAAGGAUUGACAGGUUGAGAGCUCUUUCUUGAUUCAGUGGGUGGUGGUGCAUGGCCGUUCUUAGUUGGUGGAGUGAUUUGUCUGGUUAAUUCCGAUAACGAACGAGACUCUAGCCUACUAAAUAGAUCGUCGGCUUACAAACGCCGGCGAGACUUCUUAGAGGGACAGGCGGUGAUUCAACCGCACGAAACAGAGCAAUAACAGGUCUGUGAUGCCCUUAGAUGUCCGGGGCCGCACGCGCGCUACACUGAAGUGAUCAGCGUGCUUUUUCAACCUACUCUGUCAAGAGUGGGGAACCCAAUGAACCUUCUUCGUGAUUGGGAUAGGGGAUUGUAAUUGUUCCCCUUGAACGAGGAAUUCCCAGUAAGCGCGAGUCAUAAGCUCGCGUUGAUUACGUCCCUGCCCUUUGUACACACCGCCCGUCGCUACUACCGAUUGAAUGUUUU